Molecule: ribosomal RNA, 253 nt
Filed under: uncultured bacterium
Lineage: Bacteria
Description: partial 16S ribosomal RNA
Rfam family: Bacterial small subunit ribosomal RNA
Source: RNAcentral
GACGUAGGAUGCGAGCGUUGUCCGGAUUUAUUGGGCGUAAAGAGUUCGUAGGUGGUUCGUUAAGUUUGGUGUUAAAGACCAGGGCUCAACCUUGGGACCGCACUGAAUGCUGGCGGACUGGAGUGAAGUAGAGGCAAGCGGAAUUCCCAGUGUAGCGGUGAAAUGCGUAGAUAUUGGGAAGAACGCCGGUGGCGUAAGCGGCUUGCUGGGCUUUAACUGACGAUGAGGAACGAAAGCUAGGGUAGCGAAUGGG